This is a long non-coding RNA of Oreochromis aureus, 788 nucleotides long. RefSeq lists it as uncharacterized. The record is from RefSeq and is a predicted model, not a curated record. NCBI's taxonomy places the organism in Eukaryota, Metazoa, Chordata, Actinopteri, Cichliformes, Cichlidae. The transcript is spliced from 5 exons.
GAAGACUCCAGAAUCCACUCUGGCUGGAAUCCGGUGGAUACAGCAGUGUUACAGGUACAGUACGUGAUGUUAAGGGCAGGCGGUCAUCACCGGGGGAAGAAAAGAAGCAGACGUACUUCCAAGAGGGAGCUGCAGUGAGGACACAGCCUGGUCACUGAGGUCAGAGGAGGCGCUGGAAGGUUUCCCUAAUAGUUCCUGGUGAAUCAAAGCAGAACCAUAAAGGUUGCUGGACUGCAUGAUGGCCUUACCCCUGAGCAGUCAUCCUGUUAAAGGAGGAACCAGUUAGAAGCUGUUUUCAAAGUAGCUGAGCAGAUUUCAUCUGAAUUCUGAUCUCUCUGCUGAGCUACACAGGUGCUGAGGUACUUUACUGGGCUGCUGGUCAGACGAGGCUUCUCUGGAGCACUUUGUCCAGCUCGGGUGUUUCAGCACCAAGGACAGCGUGCAGCUCUCUGAGCUUCAGCAGCAGAACUGAAUCCACAGACUUUAGCAGCAGCACAAGAAGUGACACACCCAACUGUUCACAUGCUUUUUAAAUGUUCAUUUAUUAUUGUUUGUGUUACAUUCAUUCAUAACCAAAUUUGAAUUAAUCAGAUGAUCAGUGUUUGACUGCUGUGUGUCUUCAGUGUGUCACUCAAUACUUUAUCAUUAAAACAGAGAGUUGAGGUGUUUUGCUGUUUGAAAAACUACAAACUCAUAAACUUGUGAGUCAGACUGGAUUUCUGGAUCAUUAUUUUCUCACCUGUACCUGAAUCAGCACAAACCCACAGAGUUUGAAAACUCUCAGUGAA